CGGGGUAUAGCGCAGUUGGUAGCGCGCCACGUUCGGGACGUGGAGGUCGGCAGUUCAAGUCUGCCUAUCCCGA
Molecule: transfer RNA, 73 nt
Filed under: Candidatus Microgenomates bacterium
Lineage: Bacteria; Candidatus Microgenomatota
Description: tRNA-Pro
Rfam family: tRNA
About the family: Transfer RNA (tRNA) molecules are approximately 80 nucleotides in length.
Source: RNAcentral